RNAcentral lists this ribosomal RNA (506 nucleotides) under uncultured bacterium. RNAcentral describes it as "partial 16S ribosomal RNA". It matches the Rfam family "Bacterial small subunit ribosomal RNA", at positions 29 to 523 of the family's 1533-position model. The record is from RNAcentral.
AGUGAACGCUGGCGGUAGGCCUAACACAUGCAAGUCGAACGGCAGCACAGAGAAGCUUGCUCCUUGGGUGGCGAGUGGCGGACGGGUGAGGAAUACAUCGGAAUCUACUCUGUCGUGGGGGAUAACGUAGGGGAACUUACGCUAAUACCGCAUACGACCUACGGGUGAAAGCAGGGGAUCUUCGGACCUUGCGCGAUUGAAUGAGCCGAUGUCGGAUUAGCUAGUUGGCGGGGUAAAGGCCCACCAAGGCGACGAUCCGUAGCCAGUCUGAGAGGAUCAUCAGCCACACUGGAACUGAGAGACGGUACAGAGUCCGACGGGAGGCAGCAGUGGGGAGUAUUGGACAAUGGGCGCAAGCCUGAUCCAGCCACACCGAGUGGGUGAAGAAGGCCUUCGGGUUGUAAAGCCCUUUUGUUGGGAAAGAAAUCCAUCUGGUUAAUACCCGGGUGGGAUGACGGUACCCAAAGAAUAAGCACCGGCUAACUUCGUGCCAGCCGCCGCGGUAA